Molecule: RNA transcript, 7795 nt
Organism: Pelmatolapia mariae (spotted tilapia)
Lineage: Eukaryota; Metazoa; Chordata; Actinopteri; Cichliformes; Cichlidae
Gene: erc2
Gene name: ELKS/RAB6-interacting/CAST family member 2
Exons: 21
Source: RefSeq, a predicted model, not a curated record
GAGGAGGAGAGAGAGCGUGCCCGCUGCCCAAUGACAGCGCAGGAUGCUGAGAGAGGCUGCUCGGGUGAAUGGAGGCGACAAGAUGCCGUCUAGAGCGGCGAAGAAGAGGAAUUAACAUCGAUAAAGAUCUGACUUUGAUCUACUCCACCUUUUCAGACAUGAAAUAAGUCACCCAUGUGCAGUUCUAAGAGUCAGAGCAGUCUCAUUAUAACUCGCCCCUGUUAAGGACCCCUCUGGUGGCUACACCGCCGAAUCACAGGACAUGUACGGCAGUGCCAGAGCUGUAGGCCAUGUAGAGAGCAGCCCCGUACGGUCCCCGCACCUACCAAGGUCCCCCAGACUGGGCCAUCGAAGGGCACACAGUGGGAGCGGGGGUGGUGCGGGGGGCAAGACGCUCUCCAUGGAGAACAUCCAGUCCCUCAACGCUGCCUAUGCUACUUCGGGGCCCAUGUACCUGAGUGACCACGAGGGCGUGGGCUCCACUGCCACCUACCCAAAAGGCACUAUGACUCUGGGUCGCGCCACCAGUCGGGCCAUGUAUGGGGGACGUGUCACAGCCAUGGGCAGCAGUCCCAAUAUUGCUUCUGUGGGGCUGCCUCAUGCUGACCUUCUGUCUUACAGUGACCUGGGCUCCCUCUCCAUGCUGCACCCCCACCACCACCAGGGGGUGCCCUCUGCUCUGCUGAGGCAGGCAGUGCGGGGCAGUGGUGGGGAGCUGCUGGAGAUGCAGGCCCAGCUCAGGGAGAUGCAGAGGGAGAAUGAGAUGCUGCGACGGGAGCUUGACCUGAAGGACAGUAAGUUGGGAUCUUCCACCAACAGCAUCAAGAGUUUCUGGAGUCCUGAACUGAAGAAGGAGAGGAUAAUGAGGAAAGAAGAGGCGGCUCGUACGUCAAUCCUCAAAGAACAAAUGAGAGUCACUCAUGAGGAGAACCAGCUGCUGGAUGCCAGGAGAACCAAGCAUCUUCAGAUGACCAUCCAAGCUCUGCAGGAUGAAUUGCGCACACAGCGAGACCUCAACCACCUGCUGCAGCAGGAGAGCGGUAACCGCUCUGGGUCUGAGCAUUUCACCACCAUUGAGCUGACAGAGGAGAACUUCCGGCGGCUGCAGGCUGAACAUGAUAGACAGGCCAAGGAGCUCUUCCUGCUGAGAAAGACCCUAGAGGAGAUGGAACUGAGGAUCGAGACCCAGAAACAAACCCUGGGUGCCAGAGAUGAGUCAAUUAAGAAGUUGCUUGAGAUGCUACAGAGCAAAGGGCUGCCCCCGGGCCCGGGCAGGGCAACCGAGGAGGAGGAGCAAGAACGAGCCCGGCGCAUUGCUGAAGCAGAGGCGCAACUGGGACACCUGGAGGUCAUUCUGGAUCAAAAGGAGAAGGAAAACAUCCAUUUGCGAGAGGAACUGCACAGAAGAAAUCAACUGCAUCAGGACCCAAGUAAAACUAAGGCCCUGCAGACCAUUAUAGAGAUGAAAGACACCAAAAUUGCCUCUCUGGAACGCAACAUUCGGGAUCUGGAGGAUGAGAUUCAAAUGCUGAAGGCAAACGGCUUACUGAACACAGAGGACAGAGAAGAGGAAAUCAAACAGAUGGAGGUCUACAAGAACCACUCUAAGUUUAUGAAGACGAAGAUUGACCAGUUGAAGCAGGAGUUGUCAAAGAAAGAGUCAGAACUGCUGGCUCUGCAGACGAAGCUAGAGACCCUCAACAACCAGAACUCAGACUGCAAACAGCAUAUCGAGGUGCUCAAAGAGUCUCUCACUGCCAAGGAGCAACGUGCUGCCAUCCUGCAAACGGAGGUUGACGCUUUACGUCUACGUCUGGAGGAGAAAGAAUCCUUCUUGAACAAGAAAACCAAGCAGCUGCAGGACCUGACGGAGGAGAAGGGUACUCUCGCCGGAGAAAUCAGGGACAUGAAGGACAUGCUUGAGGUCAAAGAAAGGAAGAUUAAUGUCCUGCAGAAAAAGAUUGAGAACCUGCAGGAGCAGCUGCGGGACAAAGACAAGCAGCUGGGGAACCUCAAGGACAGGGUCAAGUCUCUGCAGACCGACUCCAGUAACACAGACACUGCCCUGGCCACCCUGGAAGAGGCGCUGUCAGAGAAGGAGAGGAUUAUUGAGCGUUUGAAGGACCAAAGGGAGAGAGAAGACAGAGAACGACUGGAAGAAGUGGAAUCAUAUAAGAAAGAGAACAAGGAAUUGAAGGAGAAGGUGAACAGCCUGCAGAUAGAACUAACAGAAAAGGAGUCCAGUCUCAUCGAUCUGAAAGAACACGCAUCAUCCCUGGCAUCCUCUGGCCUCAAGAAGGAUUCAAAGCUCAAGUCACUGGAGAUUGCAAUUGAGCAGAAAAAAGAGGAAUGUAGUAAGUUGGAGACACAGUUACAGAAGCAAGCUGAGCAGCUAUUCAGUCACAUGAACACUCCUAAAGCCCAUGAAGUGGAGCAGCAGUCGGGCUCCAGAGGGAACCCAGAGUAUGUGGACCGGGUGAAACUGCUGGAAAAGGAGGUGAGCUACUACAAAGAUGAAGCCAAUAAGGCUCAGGCAGAGGUGGAGAGACUUCUGGACAUCCUGCGAGAGGUGGAAACCGAAAAGAAUGAUAAGGACAAGAAAAUUGCUGAGUUGGAAAGCCCCCCUCCCCCCGCCCCCCGCCCCACCCCUCGUCCCGGUGGCAGAGCUCCCCCUGACCCGCUCCCUUCUGUGUCCACUGCUCCCCAGCAGAUAGGGGGCAUGGUGUGGGAUUUCCUGGGAAAACAAGGGGGUAAAGAUCAAGCUAAAAAGGGUUCGAACAUCAAAUUGGGGCUGCAAGGUGACAAGAAAGGCUUGGGACAGGACCCUCGUAAGGACAGCUCCAUAGAUGGUGGUCACCACUUGAAGUUGGAGGAGCUAAUGAACACGCUAGAAAGGACGAGGCAAGAGCUGGAUGCCACCAAGCAGCGUCUCUCCUCCACACAGCAGUCUUUACAGGAGAGGGACACUCACCUCACCAACAUGAGACAAGAACGCAGGAAACAGCUGGAGGAGAUCCUUGAAAUGAAACAACAAGCUCUGCUGGCGGCAAUUAGUGAGAAAGAUGCUAAUAUUGCACUGCUGGAACUGUCUGCCUCGAAUAAAAAGAAGACCCAGGAGGAGGUGCUAGCCCUCAAGAGGGAGCGGGACAAACUGAUGCACCAGCUCAAACAACAUACACAAAGCAGAAUGAAGCUGAUAGCCGACAAUUAUGAAGACGAGCAAUAUCAUCCACAUGCUCCUCACCACCCCCAGUCUCAGCCCUCACAUGCUCCACCUCAGCCCCAGCCCCAGUAUCCCCACGCUCCCCACCCUCAACAGACUCCAUAUCCACACGCGCCACACCCGCAACAUCCGCAACACCCACAGCACCUGCAACACCCACAGCACCCACAGGCAUCCCAGCAACACCCACACCCACAGCAGCCACAGAUGCAGUACCCUCACCCUCCUCACCAGCAACAUCCUCAGCACCCCCAGCCACCUCCCCAGCACCAACAGCACCCACGCCCUCCACAGCCCCAGCACCCUCACCAACAGCACCCCCAGCAUCCUCAACAGCACCCACAUGGGCAUCUGCCUCCGCAGCACCCUCACCCUCAGCACCCACACGGACCUCCACAACAGGGGCCACACCCCCAACAUCCACACCCUCAGCACCCCCAGCACCCUCAGCAUCCCCAACACCCUCACCAUGCCCAACAUCCACGUCACCCUUCGCCCCACCAUCGCGGGGGACCAGCCCGAGGACCCCCGCAUGCUGGUCAUCGCCCUUCCCCAGACCAGGAUGACGAGGAGGGCAUUUGGGCAUAAUCCUUGCUGUGACAACCAAAGCUCUAAUGUUGUUUUGAGGGAUGAUUCAGUCACUACUGGAGGAGCACAGCCAUGCCAUGAUGUUGUAACACUACCCAACUAAAUAUUUAUUACCUCCACUCAAUCAGUACCCAGCAACGGGACCUUUUUUUUCCCAGGAAGAGGAGGGGGAACUCAGGUGUGCAGGUCAUGCAUAGAGACUGACAGCUGAGCAGGUGAUGUGGGAGCUCUUCUUGGUGUGAACAGGACAAGACACACUCCACUUCACACAACAUUAGAUAUUCACAACUGAAGUGGAAGGAGAGAGAACGAUAUGGAGAAAGAGAUGUUCUGUGUGUGUCUAAUUGUUGCUUGGACAUGUGAUUAACAUGGGAGCACUGUAUCAGAGGUUACACCGAGGUCAACUCACCUGUCUGUCACAAGUUCAGGCCAACGGCGCUCUCUUGAUCCACCCAGCAGAGAUCUCACGACUGUCUGUCAGCCCAGUAUUUCUUCCUUCCUCCUUCUUCUGACUGGUUCAAGAUCAUGGUUGUCUUGCUGACUGUUUCACCUGCCUGACUGACUCCUCUGGCUCUGGUUGGCUCCUCCGCCUGACUCUUGUCAUGGUUUUUCAAUCCUCACUGCCCUCCUGACUCACCUGGUGACAUCUGACCCCUCUGCCUGGCUGUCAUGACCUUCGGCGUGUUGUAAUCAUCAGAUUGUGUUGCUGAGCUAUAUUUUCCCUCCGUGGCACGCAGUGACUUCUUCUUUUCUUUCUUUUUUUUUAACCUUUUUACCUGCCAUGCAUUUCUUCAGCAUUUCUAAAUGUGACGUGGUGUCCCUUUACUAGCAUGUUCCACACAAUCCAGAUUAAGUGGUUUUAGGGUUUCUUUUGUCAUUUCUUGUUGGUAAAAGGAAGAGCUUUGAUCUGACUGAUGACAGGCUUGAGCCUUGCCUGCAACAUCAAGAGGUUUCUGUGGCUGCGCAAGCAGGGCCUUCCAGUUCUCUGGCUAGUUUUAGCCUUAAGGCUGUGGCUGCACUGGAUUUUAUCUUCAUCUUACCUCAUUUUAAUCAAAAGUAGUCAAAAAAAGAAAUAAACUAUGCAGAUGUAAACAUAGAGUGAAUGCAUUCCCAUCCUUACUUAAAUCAAGUCAAAAUGAUUUAAUUGUCCAAUCACAGCAGCCAAGGGAGUGGUCAGAAUAUAUUGAUCAGAUUAUUUAGAUUAUUUCUGAGACUAUGCACCUAUGCACCUCCUCUGUGUUGCAGGAAUUUUUACUAAUGGUGCUUCUGCUGGUGCUCAAACUAAACGGUGUGAGAAGACCUGGUAAAGAGCAUCUUUUAGUCCUUUUACAGUAAAGGGACUUGAUCCCACAAUGGGCUUCAUAAACAACUGUAAAGGAGUUCUUUGUACAUAUGAUUUGACAAAAGGGGUUUGUGAUCCACACACAGAUGCUAGGUCCCUCAGCAAAUACUGCUACUAUAAGCAUCAUUCUAGACUAUAAAGAGAAGGCAGUGUCCAAUAGAUGUUUAUCCUGCAGGUCUAUUGGAGCCACUGACACACCAGUGUCUGACCUAGAGUAUGCUCCUGCUCCCCUCUCCCUUGUACUCUUCCAGCAGUAGUCUGUGUGACCUCCCCAAACAUAGUGACUUGUUUUCUCCUUCUCAACAAGGUGGCCUGUGCCUCGUAAAAACUGUACACAUAUGAUAGAUAUGCAUAUAUUAUACAUAUAGAGAGAAAUCUAUAGAGUGUGUCUAUAUGUGGUCAGAAAAUCAUUUCAAACUGACAAGAUACUAUAUAAAUAUAUAUAUAUAAUAUAUAUAUAUGUUUCUUUUUUCUUCAUGGUUAUUUUUCUAUCUGGCUGGAGGUCUGAGAAAUGUCUUAUUUAGAGCGUUGAGCGGUGUGAUUUUCCUCUGAUUUGUACUGUAUAUGAAAACCCCCCUCAGCAGCAAAGUUAACAUUCCCUGUCUGAAAAUACAGGACAGCCCAAAUAGAAAAAAAUUAAGAGCUUUAGGACAGUUUAUGGGAAACAAAGAAGUGUAUCCAAAUCUAUCUAGAAGUUUAGAAAAGGUGACAUUAUUACAUUCCUUUCUUAAUGUGAAAAACAACUCAGUUGAAGACCACUUUGCCUGUGGUGACGACUUUGAACAGCGACUUUAUUUAUUUUUUUAAUUUUGCAGCUCGCACAGGUAGCAUUGAGAUUAUGUCUGCUGAACUCAGCAGUCAGAAGCUUGCACUUGUGAGAGGACUAUCACAGUUAUCACCCAACCGGAGGUUUGAGUGACUCUGUCUGGAUGCAUUUCCUUCGUGUGUUUGUCGUCGUUGUCGUCUUGUAAGCCGAAGUGAUGAUGUAUGUGACUGUGACAGCUAACCAAGUAGAAAAAAAAACACACGCGCACACAAAUUGUUACAGUAUAGUGGAAAAAUGAAGUAGACUGUUACAAUCCCCAGUUCCUCUCUCUAACCCUCAUGGUGCCUGUGUGUCUCCCUUUUAUGGCCAAGUGUUGGUUGUUGUAUAUAAAUGUCUUUCCAUUCACUCAUCACUCCAAGGUGAUCUGUGCAUCAUCUUUUAUGUGUCUGCUUCCCACCGUUACGGCUCCGAUCCACUAACCAAGAACCAACAGACCGUGUGAAACUUUGCUGUUUGUGUUUACAAAUGUUAAGAUAAAUCCUGACUUGGAUGUUUAAAAAAAAACAAAAGGGAAGACAAUGCAGACAGACAGAGGAGCAACAAUCCUCUCACUACACCAUGAGGGGGAUGAAGUAUGAAUCCUCUAUUUUCAGGUCCUUAUCUACUGAAUACUUGAAGUAGGGAGUUCUCCUACCAUGAAAUAGUAACAUAUGAUUUACAUGGUAGACGACGUUUCAAUUGUGCCCAUGCAUGUCGAUUUUUACAUAAUGUGCCAACUGAAAGUGAUGAUGUAAGGAUAAUCUCCUGUUCUCUAUGCAGAGCGAUUUCUCUACUGUUGUGUCAAAAAAAGGUUUCGGAGACACCAAGGCUUAGAGGCUGGGACUGGUUUCCUGAGCUUAGACGCAAGAGUAAUCUGACAUUGCGCUUCAGUGUGUGGCAGAUUUGAGAAGGCAAGGCUUCAUCGGUGCCUAGAAACAGCUGUGUAGAAAGACUUGAAAAGUCACCGGUAAUUUUCAAAAGCCUUCAGAAAAAAGAAAAAAAAAGCCUACCUUACAUUUUCACUGUAUUCUUGUAAACAGGUUGUUUUUGUUCUACUGCAUAUCACUGAAAACUUUGGAUUAAACAAAUCACUGUGACCAAUGCCAGAAACGCUUUUGUUUGACGGAACAAAUAUUAUGUUUACUUUUUUAUUAUUCAUUUUUUUGUAUUUAAGUUAGCUUUAUUUUUUCUAUUGUUUCAGUGCACUGAACAUGCCAGUUUGAGACUGUACUAUUUGUAUAGGUAAAUGUUUUGAGGUGUACAGUAAAAACCUAGGAGCAAACUAAAUGUGUGUCCAGCAUGCUGAAUGAUUAUUCGUGUGAACGUGAGCUAAUCUCCCAUAAAGCAUCAUUCCUCAUACAUUAAUUGCAUCUGCAUCGUGCAUUGUGACGGUGUGAUGUUGUGUUUGAGAGUGAUGUGUGUCUCACUUACUGUGUCCCCUUAGUAGACAGCCUGUGCAGUUCUGUGAGAGUGCAGCAUGUUCUUGGAGUUGCUGGUGUAAAUGCAUUCAGAAAAGAGGGAUGUGUGCGUGCAUAACUGCAAUUUAUUUGUUUAUGAGUGCGUGUAUGUUGUUGUGUGAAUGCACAAGAUACAACUAUUUAAAAAAAAAACUAAACAAAAACAACUUUAUAAAGAGAAAGUCCCUAAAUGAAAAAAAAAGUGAGAUUGAGUAAGUUUGGGAAAAAAAGCAUGGAUACUCUGUAAUGUUUUGUUUUAUAAAAACUAUAGGAGGCUGUCCUCAGUGCCCCAGUUUGCUAUUGUAUGUGCUGUAUCAGAAUAUUACUAUUGAGUGUUGGCCAGCUUGUUUAUAUCCAUCAAAUAAAGGUGACUUUCUUUC